This 498-nucleotide ribosomal RNA is filed under the name uncultured bacterium. Its description in RNAcentral is "bacterial SSU rRNA". It matches the Rfam family "Bacterial small subunit ribosomal RNA", at positions 17 to 506 of the family's 1533-position model. The record is from RNAcentral.
UCAUGGCUCAGAUUGAACGCUGGCGGCAUGCCUUACACAUGCAAGUCGAACGGCAGCACGGGGGCAACCCUGGUGGCGAGUGGCGAACGGGCGAGUAAUACAUCGGAACGUGUCCUGUAGUGGGGGAUAGCCCGGCGAAAGCCGGAUUAAUACCGCAUACGAUCUGCGGAUGAAAGCGGGGGCUCCUUCGGGACCUCGCGCUGCAGGGGCGGCCGAUGGCAGAUUAGCUAGUUGGUGGGGUAAAGGCCUACCAAGGCGACGAUCUGUAGCUGGUCUGAGAGGACGACCAGCCACACUGGGACUGAGACACGGCCCAGACUCCUACGGGAGGCAGCAGUGGGGAAUUUUGGACAAUGGGCGAGAGCCUGAUCCAGCAAUGCCGCGUGUGUGAAGAAGGCCUUCGGGUUGUAAAGCACUUUUGUCCGGAAAGAAAACCUCUUAGUUAAUACCCGUAGGGGGAAUGACGGUACCGGAAGAGUAAGCACCGGCUAACUACGU